GAAACCCGGAUCACAGAUUCAAGGCUGAAGUAGCUUAACAUGGGUGCCGAUUGAACUGCUCUCGGUUAAAUAUCUUAAAGAACUGUAUCCACGGAUGAUGGCAGAAUUGCAGCUUCAAAGUACAAACACGCAGUGGUACUCCAAGCUUUGUCCACAAGAGGGCAGAUGAGGACGUAAAUUCAGUUCAGUGAUAAAGCGGGAAUAGAAAAUGGAUGAAUGGAUGGAUAAACAAAAAGUUUUCUAUAUCAGUAAUAAUGGACUGGGAUGCUCCAAUCUAAAUGGGGAGAUCUUCUUGCUUUGCUUUCAAGCUGUCCAGCCCUCAGGGCGUUGCAACCAGCAGAGCCACUCUCCUAGAGGGACUUUGUUGCGAAUGUCUGUGUUAAAGAAGUGACCUCAGCAGCUGAGAUAACCUCCCCCGCUGGUCUGAGAGCAGUGUUCCACCAAGGAGGCAGC
Girardinichthys multiradiatus is the source of this 453-nucleotide long non-coding RNA. RefSeq lists it as uncharacterized. The record is from RefSeq and is a predicted model, not a curated record. The transcript has 4 exons. Lineage: Eukaryota; Metazoa; Chordata; Actinopteri; Cyprinodontiformes; Goodeidae.